Small nucleolar RNA from Lathyrus oleraceus (garden pea), 106 nucleotides. The record is from RefSeq and is a predicted model, not a curated record. Lineage: Eukaryota; Viridiplantae; Streptophyta; Magnoliopsida; Fabales; Fabaceae.
AAGCCAUGGUUAGGACAUAUUUUCAACAUUGACUUGUAUCACUCCCAUGCUUCACAAAGGGGUUCACUUGAACCUUGAGAAAACACAAAAAUUAUGGUUUUGGCCU